AGAGUUUGAUCAUGGCUCAGAUUGAACGCUGGCGGCAGGCCUAACACAUGCAAGUCGAACGGUAGCACAGAGAGCUUGCUCUCGGGUGACGAGUGGCGGACGGGUGAGUAAUGUCUGGGAAACUGCCUGAUGGAGGGGGAUAACUACUGGAAACGGUAGCUAAUACCGCAUAACGUCGCAAGACCAAAGAGGGGGACCUUCGGGCCUCUUGCCAUCAGAUGUGCCCAGAUGGGAUUAGCUAGUAGGUGGGGUAACGGCUCACCUAGGCGACGAUCCCUAGCUGGUCUGAGAGGAUGACCAGCCACACUGGAACUGAGACACGGUCCAGACUCCUACGGGAGGCAGCAGUGGGGAAUAUUGCACAAUGGGCGCAAGCCUGAUGCAGCCAUGCCGCGUGUAUGAAGAAGGCCUUCGGGUUGUAAAGACUUUCAGCGGGGAGGAAGGUGUUGUGGUUAAUAACCACAGCAAUUGACGUUACCCGCAGAAGAAGCACCGGCUAACUCCGUGCCAGCAGCCGCGGUAAUACGGAGGGUGCAAGCGUUAAUCGGAAUUACUGGGCGUAAAGCGCACGCAGGCGGUCUGUCAAGUCGGAUGUGAAAUCCCCGGGCUCAACCUGGGAACUGCAUUCGAAACUGGCAGGCUGGAGUCUUGUAGAGGGGGGUAGAAUUCCAGGUGUAGCGGUGAAAUGCGU
Molecule: ribosomal RNA, 691 nt
Filed under: uncultured bacterium
Lineage: Bacteria
Description: bacterial SSU rRNA
Rfam family: Bacterial small subunit ribosomal RNA
Source: RNAcentral